AAGAACUGAAUACAAUUACUACAAAAAGAAAAGGUGGUGGUGUUGAGCAUGGCAUAUUUUGAUUCCAUGAAAGAAUCGAAUUUCUACUUCAAAGAUGAACCAGAUGGUGGUAAAAUGAAACUCAUGUACAAAAUUUUGGAUACUGAGUUGCUCAAGUUUUCCUAUCUUCUCAAGGUGGGAUGGGAGUGUGGACUUCACCCUCUUCUGUGAGGUCAGGAAAGCCCUG
Cervus elaphus (red deer) is the source of this 226-nucleotide long non-coding RNA. RefSeq lists it as uncharacterized. The transcript has 3 exons. The record is from RefSeq and is a predicted model, not a curated record. NCBI's taxonomy places the organism in Eukaryota, Metazoa, Chordata, Mammalia, Artiodactyla, Cervidae.